UGGGGAAUAUUGGACAAUGGGCGGAAGCCUGAUCCAGCCAUGCCGCGUGUGUGAAGAAGGCCUUUUGGUUGUAAAGCACUUUAAGCGAGGAGGAGGCUACUUGGAUUAAUACUCUAGGAUAGUGGACGUUACUCGCAGAAUAAGCACCGGCUAACUCUGUGCCAGCAGCCGCGGUAAUACAGAGGGUGCGAGCGUUAAUCGGAUUUACUGGGCGUAAAGCGUGCGUAGGCGGCUUUUUAAGUCGGAUGUGAAAUCCCUGAGCUUAACUUAGGAAUUGCAUUAGAGACUGGGAAGCUAGAGUAUGGGAGAGGAUGGUAGAAUUCCAGGUGUAGCGGUGAAAUGCGUAGAGAUCUGGAGGAAUACCGAUGGCGAAGGCAGCCAUCUGGCCUAAUACUGACGCUGAGGUACGAAAGCAUGGGGAGCAAACAGG
RNAcentral lists this ribosomal RNA (430 nucleotides) under Bacillota bacterium. Its description in RNAcentral is "Firmicutes bacterium partial 16S ribosomal RNA". It matches the Rfam family "Bacterial small subunit ribosomal RNA", at positions 355 to 776 of the family's 1533-position model. Lineage: Bacteria; Bacillati; Bacillota. The record is from RNAcentral.